This 76-nucleotide transfer RNA is filed under the name Roseomonas sp. Its description in RNAcentral is "tRNA-Ala". It matches the Rfam family "tRNA". From Rfam's summary of the family: Transfer RNA (tRNA) molecules are approximately 80 nucleotides in length. Their secondary structure includes four short double-helical elements and three loops (D, anti-codon, and T loops). RNAcentral also lists the same sequence under 7 other names. Lineage: Bacteria; Pseudomonadati; Pseudomonadota; Alphaproteobacteria; Acetobacterales; Roseomonadaceae. The record is from RNAcentral.
GGGGCCAUAGCUCAGUUGGGAGAGCGCUUGAAUGGCAUUCAAGAGGUCAGGGGUUCGAUUCCCCUUGGCUCCACCA